GACAGAGGUGCCAAGCGUUAGGCGGAAUCACUGGGCUUAAAGCGUGUGUAGGCGGCCACUGCAAGUCAGUUGUGAAAUCUCCGGGCUUAACCCGGAAAGGUCAACUGAUACUGCAGGGCUAGAGUGCAGAAGGGGCAACUGGAAUUCUCGGUGUAGCGGUGAAAUGCGUAGAUAUCGAGAGGAACACCUGCGGCGAAGGCGGGUUGCUGGGCUGACACUGACGCUGAGGCGCGAGAGCGUGGGGGAGCAAACCGG
RNAcentral lists this ribosomal RNA (255 nucleotides) under uncultured bacterium. RNAcentral describes it as "partial 16S ribosomal RNA". It matches the Rfam family "Bacterial small subunit ribosomal RNA", at positions 524 to 776 of the family's 1533-position model. The record is from RNAcentral.